RNAcentral lists this transfer RNA (66 nucleotides) under Limnichidae sp. MJTNT-2012. RNAcentral's name for it is "tRNA-Ala". The record is from RNAcentral. Lineage: Eukaryota; Metazoa; Arthropoda; Insecta; Coleoptera; Limnichidae.
GGAUAGUAGUUAAAAAUAACAUUUAAUUUGCAUUUAAAAAAUAUUGAAUAAUCAAUUUAUCUUAAA